GUGAAGAACGUAGCGAAAUGCGAUACGUAAUGUGAAUUGCAGAAUUCAGUGAAUCAUCGAAUCUUUGAACGCAUAUUGCGCUCUCUGGUAUUCCGGAGAGCAUGCUUGUUUGAGUAUCAGUAAACACCUCAACUCCCUUUUCUUUUUUGAAAUUGGAGCUGGACUUGAGUGAUCCCAACGCUUUCUUCCAAGAAAGUGGCGGGUUGCUUGAAAUGCAGGUGCAGCUGAACUUUUCUCUGAGCUAUAAGCAUAUCUAUUUAGUCUGCCUAAAAAACAGAUUAUUACCUUUGCUGCAGCUAACAUAAAGGAGACUAGUUCUUGUGCUGACUGAUGCAGGAUUCACAGAGACAGCUUCGGCUGACUUUGUAAACUCGAUCUCAAAUCAAGUAAGACUACCCGCUGAACUUAAGCAUAUCAAUAAGCGGAGGA
Molecule: unclassified non-coding RNA, 429 nt
Filed under: soil metagenome
Description: partial contains 5.8S ribosomal RNA, internal transcribed spacer 2, and large subunit ribosomal RNA
Rfam family: 5.8S ribosomal RNA (bases 2-119)
Source: RNAcentral